GCGACAAUAGCUCAUCCGGUAGAGUAUCAGUUUCCCAAACUGAAGGUGGCGGGUUCGAGUCCCGUUUGUCGCU
Molecule: transfer RNA, 73 nt
Filed under: Chitinophagaceae bacterium
Lineage: Bacteria; Pseudomonadati; Bacteroidota; Chitinophagia; Chitinophagales; Chitinophagaceae
Also listed under: 2 other names
Description: tRNA-Gly
Rfam family: tRNA
About the family: Transfer RNA (tRNA) molecules are approximately 80 nucleotides in length.
Source: RNAcentral